AUUGAACGCUGGCGGCAGGCUUAACACAUGCAAGUCGAGCGGGGUGAUGGUGCUUGCACUAUCACUUAGCGGCGGACGGGUGAGUAAUGCUUAGGAAUCCGCCUAUUAGUGGGGGACAACAUCUCGAAAGGGAUGCUAAUACCGCAUACGUCCUACGGGAGAAAGCAGGGGAUCACUUGUGACCUUGCGCUAAUAGAUGAGCCUAAGUCGGAUUAGCUAGUUGGUGGGGUAAAGGCCAACAAAGGCGACGUUCUGUAGCGGGUCUGAGAGGAUGAUCCGCCACACUGGGACUGAGACACGGCCCAGACUCCUACGGGAGGCAGCAGUGGGGAAUAUUGGACAAUGGGGGGAACCCUGAUCCAGCCAUGCCGCGUGUGUGAAGAAGGCCUUAUGGUUGUAAAGCACUUUAAGCGAGGAGGAGGCUCUUUUGGUUAAUACCCAAGAUGAGUGGACGUUACUCGCAGAAUAAGCACCGGCUAACUCUGUGCCAGCAGCCGCGGUAA
Molecule: ribosomal RNA, 503 nt
Filed under: uncultured bacterium
Lineage: Bacteria
Description: partial 16S ribosomal RNA
Rfam family: Bacterial small subunit ribosomal RNA
Source: RNAcentral